Suricata suricatta (meerkat) is the source of this 1204-nucleotide long non-coding RNA. RefSeq lists it as uncharacterized. The transcript has 3 exons. Lineage: Eukaryota; Metazoa; Chordata; Mammalia; Carnivora; Herpestidae. The record is from RefSeq and is a predicted model, not a curated record.
AGAAGUUCACCACUGGGCCUCAGUGACCACAUUAAGAGGGGGUCCAGACGACAUGGAAAGGCCAUGAGUAAAUGUUCUGGGCAAUAGCUGCAGCCAAGAGACCACAUCAAUGACAAGACAUGGGAGUGAGGAGCCCUCAGCCUUCAACCUGUCCCACUAAUGCAAAGUUCAGCAGAGAUGAGAAUGCCCGGGAGAAGUUUAUUCUCUCCCCAAAUACACCUGCAAUCUCCAAGUCCUUCUAAUUCAUGCUUUUAAAUGAAAGGGUUGACUAUACAAGAAUAUCAAUAAGUUCCAAUUGAAGAGCGGAUUCUUUUGCAAUUCAGGCAUGUGCCGGCGAUAACGGGCGAGUUGGCAUGAAGAGAGGCAGAGAUGGAUUAAUUAUGCAGAGAACAUGGAAAUUCUGCUUAUCAUCGGCUAGCAAAGGAGCCCGGCUCACAUAAUCAGCAAACGAAGGGAGAGGAAAAAAUAACAAUGCAAUGGCACCUUCCAGCCCAUCAUCAGGAUUUUUUCUACCCCCCUUGUAAUUAAAAAAUAACAUACACUUAUAGCCCUAUCUCCUGUGCAGGCAAGGAGUGGAUGUCCACAAAAUAAUUGCACUGGGAUAUUAGAGCUGGCAACAUGGGCUGUCCAUUUCUGCUUGCUUUCUCUCUCACCCUCUCUUUCUCUUUUGGCCUCUCAAGGCACUUUGCUUCUGAACUCAAUCCAAAUCAGAGGGAUGUCUCAGGUGACAUCCUAGCUCAGUUUCCAAAAAUCCCAAAUUGCUAUCUUAUCAUGAUCCAAGCAAAUAUACAGACAUAUAUGAUACAUAUUUGAAGGGUUGACUCUGGGGAAGGCUUUAGAACUGAUCACCUGUGGACUAUAUGGUCAGUUUUGGUUUUUUGAUGAAACCUAUCCUCAUAACCUUCAUUUUGCAAAGCGAUGAAAUGGUGACAAUGGUGGGCUGUGCAAUGGCUGCAUUCAUCUUCUCGAAUGAUUUCACUUACCUACAACUUUUGGGCUCUAUUGCCUCUGCUGAUUCAUUUUAUGAAUUCAAGUAUAUGUAGUUAAUGAUUGCAGUGUUCGUGCCUCCAAAUCAGAAUUCACAAUUCUGCACUGUUACUGUAAAAUCUGACAGCUUAAUGCUUUGUGUUUCUCUAAAUGCCAAGAGACUAUAAUGAACUAGUUUAUUGCUUUAAAGAAAAUAAAAUUCAAUCCCACACUUGUA